CCUCGUCUAAGUGUAUCAACCCUAACAAUUUGGAUAAAAAUUCUAAUUAUAUUAAAGAAUGAUUUUCAUUUGUUGUGUAUCUAUAUGGAGGACAAGUUACAUCCAGGAAAAAUGAACAUGGAGAAGAAUUGCUAUUCAACCAUAAAUAUAUGUUUAAUUUUUAUUGAUACAUUAAAUGCUAAAAUGAAUCAAUAUUUAUGAAACUCUUCAAGGAUAAUAUGUGUUUUGGCUUAUAUAAUUUCAGGUUAAUAAUAAUAGUAGAGCAGUGAUUUCAGACUAAUAACAGUAGUAGAGAUGUGGAUCCAUUAUGGAUAUAUAUGUAUUUUAGCUUAGAUAGAUUUUAAUCCAUAUACAGUUCUCAAAUCUUGGUUCUUUUGACCAUCAUGGAUUCUUAAGGAACAAGUUGUGGACCUUAAAUCCCAAUCCUCCUUCAUUUCCAACAAAUAACAGUAGUAGCAAUUUCAUUUAUUUGAUUCUUAAAACCAAUAAAUAACAGUAGUAGAGCUUUCAUUUAUUUGAUUCUUAAGAAUUCUGAAGAUGAUUUCGGUGGUGGACGAUAUCCAUUGCAGAAAUAAAAAAGGAAAAAUACGAAGAUGAAAGAACGGUUGAAAACAAAGAGAGAGAAAAUACAAUUGUAAAAAGAGGAAGAAGUAAGAGAUAAGGGUGAAAUCAGGCCAGCAAAUGAAAGAGUGACAUGUUUACCUGGAUAUGAUAAAAUGCAAGAUAAAGUUCUCUGUUAUGUUUUGUUUGUUUCAGAUUCAUCACUUUUGAUUCUGUUACCCUUUUCUUUAUUGAAUUUCUAUUCCAAGAUUGAAUUUUUAUUCACUUGUUCUCUGAAAAAGUGUUUGGUGUUUUAAUUGUGUUCUUCUCUGAAGAUGGUUGUAGAGAAUCAAAAGGUUAAUUUGAGGGAUGAAGAUGGGGUCAUUUUCCCGUGGGUAUGCGUGUUCUUGCUGUUGAUGACAACCCAACUUGUCUCAUGGUUUUGGUCUUUAAGGUUUUUUUGAAUAUUGGUUCAAACCUGGAUUUGCUUUAAACCCAGAUUUUACUUUUUAAUUUUGAAGAACUUUGAUGUUGUAGCAGUAUCAGUUGAGGUAAGCAAAUUGCUUUGAAAAUGGAAAUCAAAAUCCAAAUCGUACAUCUCAACAUUUCAGUAUUUUGUUCUAAUCUUUAUUCUAUCUCGAAGAAUAUUUAAUCCACAUCAGCAUCAGAUAUCAGUCAAGUGUCUUUUUUUUUUAAACACAAACCUAACAAAAGGGUCUAAUGUGACGCUGUUUGAAGAGAUAAGAUAUGAAAUUAUUCUUUUUUAAAAUUGAGGGAUCAAAAUAAAAUUUGAGAUAGAGAUAAGGAACCAGGUAUUUAGCCUAACAGAAAUGUUAAAAGUUAAUAGUUUAAAAUAUUAACAAAAUUCAAUUAUCAUUGUGUAAUGUGUAUGCAAACAAAUGGAAUGUAACUAUACUAUUUUAUUAUUUAAACUUUGAAAAAAAAGAA
This 1488-nucleotide long non-coding RNA is filed under the name Lathyrus oleraceus (garden pea). RNAcentral describes it as "Pisum sativum (pea) long non-coding RNA (PSAT_LNC004938)". The record is from RNAcentral. Lineage: Eukaryota; Viridiplantae; Streptophyta; Magnoliopsida; Fabales; Fabaceae.